UUUUUUUCUUGAAUGCACAGGAGAGCUGCGCAUCAUUAUAUUAAGACAAACAAGAAGAGUCUAAGAAGACUCAAAUACAUAAGGACUUGCA
RNAcentral lists this small RNA (91 nucleotides) under Oryza sativa Japonica Group (Japanese rice). RNAcentral describes it as "sRNA Os03g0397350". The record is from RNAcentral. Lineage: Eukaryota; Viridiplantae; Streptophyta; Magnoliopsida; Poales; Poaceae.